GAUGAACGCUGGCGGCGUGCUUAACACAUGCAAGUCGAACGAAGCAUUUAAGACAGAUUACUUCGGUUUGAAGUCUUUUAUGACUGAGUGGCGGACGGGUGAGUAACGCGUGGGUAACCUGCCUCAUACAGGGGGAUAGCAGCUGGAAACGGCUGGUAAUACCGCAUAAGCGCACAGUACCACAUGGUACAGUGUGAAAAACUCCGGUGGUAUGAGAUGGACCCGCGUCUGAUUAGCUUGUUGGCGGGGUAACGGCCCACCAAGGCGACGAUCAGUAGCCGACCUGAGAGGGUGACCGGCCACAUUGGGACUGAGACACGGCCCAGACUCCUACGGGAGGCAGCAGUGGGGAAUAUUGCACAAUGGAGGAAACUCUGAUGCAGCGACGCCGCGUGAGUGAAGAAGUAGUUCGCUAUGUAAAGCUCUAUCAGCAGGGAAGAUAGUGACGGUACCUGACUAAGAAGCUCCGGCUAAAUACGUG
This 481-nucleotide ribosomal RNA is filed under the name uncultured bacterium. RNAcentral describes it as "partial 16S ribosomal RNA". It matches the Rfam family "Bacterial small subunit ribosomal RNA", at positions 28 to 507 of the family's 1533-position model. The record is from RNAcentral. RNAcentral also lists the same sequence under 1 other name.